This 534-nucleotide ribosomal RNA is filed under the name Isophya mavromoustakisi. RNAcentral describes it as "SSU rRNA". It matches the Rfam family "Eukaryotic small subunit ribosomal RNA", at positions 647 to 1135 of the family's 1831-position model. The record is from RNAcentral. Lineage: Eukaryota; Metazoa; Arthropoda; Insecta; Orthoptera; Tettigoniidae.
AUGAUUCGUGGGACGUCCUGCCGGUGGUGGCGAGUCGAAGGCGUGCUCCCGUUGUGGUUUUUCCACUUCGGUUCUUGCGCGCUCGAGGCGGACCCCGAUGAAAUCCUACCGCGGUGCUCUUCGCCGAGUGUCGAGGUGGGCCGGCACGUUUACUUUGAACAAAUUAGAGUGCUUAAAGCAGGCCUGUUGCGCCUGAAUACUGUGUGCAUGGAAUAAUGGAAUAGGACCUCGGUUCUAUUUUGUUGGUUUUCGGAACCCGAGGUAAUGAUUAAUAGGGACAGGCGGGGGCAUUCGUAUUGCGACGUUAGAGGUGAAAUUCUUGGAUCGUCGCAAGACGGACCGAAGCGAAAGCAUUUGCCAAGUAUGUUUUCAUUAAUCAAGAACGAAAGUUAGAGGUUCGAAAGGCGAUCAGAUACCGCCCUAGUUCUAACCAUAAACGAUGCCAGCUAGCGAUCCGCCGAAGUUCCUCCGAUGACUCGGCGGGCAGCUCCCGGGAAACCAAGCUUUUGGGUUCCGGGGGAAGUAUGGUGCAAG